Molecule: ribosomal RNA, 253 nt
Filed under: uncultured bacterium
Lineage: Bacteria
Description: partial 16S ribosomal RNA
Rfam family: Bacterial small subunit ribosomal RNA
Source: RNAcentral
UACGUAGGGUGCGAGCGUUAAUCGGAAUUACUGGGCGUAAAGCGUGCGCAGGCGGUUUGGCAAGUCAGAUGUGAAAUCCCCGAGCUCAACUUGGGGACUGCGUUUGAAACUGCCAGACUAGAAUAUGUCAGAGGGGGGUAGAAUUCCACGUGUAGCAGUGAAAUGCGUAGAGAUGUGGAGGAAUACCAAUGGCGAAGGCAGCCCCCUGGGAUAAUAUUGACGCUCAUGCACGAAAGCGUGGGGAGCAAACAGG